This 257-nucleotide ribosomal RNA is filed under the name uncultured bacterium. RNAcentral's name for it is "partial 16S ribosomal RNA". It matches the Rfam family "Bacterial small subunit ribosomal RNA", at positions 28 to 282 of the family's 1533-position model. The record is from RNAcentral.
GAUGAACGCUAGCGGCAGGCUUAAUACAUGCAAGACGAACGGUAACUGUUGUAGCAAUACAAUAGCUAGAGUGUCGUACGGGUGCGUAACACGUAUGCAACCUACCUUGUACAGGCGGAUAGCUCGGGGAAACUCGAAUUAACCCGCCAUGAGAUCAUAGUGUGGCAUCACAUAGUGAUUAAAACUCAGGUGGUACAAGAUGGGCAUGCGUCUGAUUAGUUAGUUGGCAGUGUAAAGGACUACCAAGACGAUGAUCA